CCUACGGGAGGCAGCAGUAGGGAAUAUUGCUCAAUGGGGGAAACCCUGAACCAGCCACGCCGCGUGGAGGAUGACGGUUUUCGGAUUGUUAACUCCUUUUGUUAGAGAAGCUAAUGACGCUAUCUAACGAAUAAUCACCGUAUAACUCCGUGCCAGCAGCCGUGGGUCUACGGCGGGUGCAGGCGUUACUCGGAAUCACUGGGCGUAAAGGGCGUGUAGGCGGGUUAGGAAGUCCGGUGUGAAAACCUAGGGUUUAACCAUAGAACUGCAUUUGAAACUGGUAUUCUAGAGUAUGGGAGAGGUAUGUGGAAUGCGUGGUGUAGCGGUAAAAUGCGUAGAGAUCAAGAAGAAUACUCAUUGCGAAGGCGACCUGCUAGAGCAUAACUGACGCUGAUGCGCGAAAGCGUGGGGAGCAAACAGGAUUAGAUACCCGAGUAGUC
This 440-nucleotide ribosomal RNA is filed under the name uncultured bacterium. Its description in RNAcentral is "partial 16S ribosomal RNA". It matches the Rfam family "Bacterial small subunit ribosomal RNA", at positions 338 to 795 of the family's 1533-position model. The record is from RNAcentral.